RNAcentral lists this ribosomal RNA (463 nucleotides) under Staphylococcus aureus. Its description in RNAcentral is "bacterial SSU rRNA". It matches the Rfam family "Bacterial small subunit ribosomal RNA", at positions 1 to 453 of the family's 1533-position model. Lineage: Bacteria; Bacillati; Bacillota; Bacilli; Caryophanales; Staphylococcaceae. The record is from RNAcentral.
UUUAUGGAGAGUUUGAUCCUGGCUCAGGAUGAACGCUGGCGGCGUGCCUAAUACAUGCAAGUCGAGCGAACGGACGAGAAGCUUGCUUCUCUGAUGUUAGCGGCGGACGGGUGAGUAACACGUGGAUAACCUACCUAUAAGACUGGGAUAACUUCGGGAAACCGGAGCUAAUACCGGAUAAUAUUUUGAACCGCAUGGUUCAAAAGUGAAAGACGGUCUUGCUGUCACUUAUAGAUGGAUCCGCGCUGCAUUAGCUAGUUGGUAAGGUAACGGCUUACCAAGGCAACGAUGCAUAGCCGACCUGAGAGGGUGAUCGGCCACACUGGAACUGAGACACGGUCCAGACUCCUACGGGAGGCAGCAGUAGGGAAUCUUCCGCAAUGGGCGAAAGCCUGACGGAGCAACGCCGCGUGAGUGAUGAAGGUCUUCGGAUCGUAAAACUCUGUUAUUAGGGAAGAACAUA